CAAUAGCGUAUAUUAAAGUUGUUGCAGUUAAAAAGCUCGUAGUUGGAUUUCUGGUUGAAGCGACCGGUCGGGCGUUGAUUCGUCUGCACUGGAGUCGGUUUUGGCCAUCCUCUAGGAAAGUGCGUCUGGUAUUAAGUUAUCGGGCGUAUGAUCCUGGUCUUUUACUGUGAAAAAAUUAGAGUGUUUAAAGCAGGCCUUCGCCUUGAAUACAUUAGCAUGGAAUAAUAAGAUAGGACUUUGGUCUAUUUUGUUGGUUUGCAGACCGAAGUAAUGAUUAAUAGGGAUAGUUGGGGGUAUUUAUAUUCCGAUGUCAGAGGUGAAAUUCUUAGAUUUUCGGAAGAUAAACUUAUGCGAAAGCAUUUACCAAGGAUGUUUUCAUUAA
This 382-nucleotide ribosomal RNA is filed under the name uncultured eukaryote. RNAcentral describes it as "partial 18S ribosomal RNA". It matches the Rfam family "Eukaryotic small subunit ribosomal RNA", at positions 592 to 976 of the family's 1831-position model. The record is from RNAcentral.